This 619-nucleotide ribosomal RNA is filed under the name uncultured bacterium. RNAcentral describes it as "bacterial SSU rRNA". It matches the Rfam family "Bacterial small subunit ribosomal RNA", at positions 265 to 881 of the family's 1533-position model. The record is from RNAcentral.
CCACCAAGGCUUCGAUCGGUUAGGGGUUCUGAGAGGAAGGCCCCCCACACUGGAACUGAGACACGGUCCAGACUCCUACGGGAGGCAGCAGUGAGGAAUAUUGGUCAAUGGGCGGAAGCCUGAACCAGCCAAGUAGCGUGCAGGAUGACGGCCCUACGGGUUGUAAACUGCUUUUAUGCGGGGAUAAAGUUGCCCACGUGUGGGUUUUUGCAGGUACCGCAUGAAUAAGGACCGGCUAAUUCCGUGCCAGCAGCCGCGGUAAUACGGAAGGUCCGGGCGUUAUCCGGAUUUAUUGGGUUUAAAGGGAGCGCAGGCCGCCGUGCAAGCGUGCCGUGAAAAGCAGCGGCCCAACCGCUGCCCUGCGGCGCGAACUGCUUGGCUUGAGUGCGCCGGAAGCGGGCGGAAUUCGUGGUGUAGCGGUGAAAUGCUUAGAUAUCACGAAGAACCCCGAUUGCGAAGGCAGCCCGCUGUGGCGCCACUGACGCUGAGGCUCGAAGGUGCGGGUAUCGAACAGGAUUAGAUACCCUGGUAGUCCGCACGGUAAACGAUGGAUACCCGCUGUCCGGCCCGUACGGUCUGGGCGGCCAAGCGAAAGCGUUAAGUAUCCCACCUGGGGAGU